UCUUGUAGCCGAAACGACACCCCCAUCUGUCUACCCACUGGCCCCUGGAUCUACCUUCAAAUCUAACUCCAUGGUAACUCUGGGAUGCCUGGUCAAGGGCUAUUUCCCUGAGCCAGUGACGGUGACCUGGAACUCUGGAGCCCUGUCCAGCGGUGUGCACACCUUCCCAGCUGUCAUGCAGUCUGGACUCUACACUCUCAGCAGCUCAGUGACUGUAUCCUCCAGCACCUGGCCCAGCCAGCCUGUCACCUGCAACGUAGCCCACCCGGCCAGCAGCACCAAGGUGGACAAGACCAUUGUGCCCAGGGACUCUGAUUGCGGUUGCAAGCCUUGUAUAUGUACAGUCCCAGAAGUAUCAUCUGUCUUCAUCUUCCCCCCGAAGCCCAAGGACGUGCUCACCAUCACUCUGACUCCUAAGGUCACAUGUGUCGUGGUAGACGUCAGCCAGGAUGAUCCCGAGGUCCAGUUCAGCUGGUAUGUGGAUGACGAGGAGGUGCACACAGCUCAGACUCACCGCCCAGAGCAGCAGUUCAACAGCACCCUCCGCUCGGUCAGUGAGCUCCCCAUCCUGCACCAGGACUGGCUCAACGGCAAGGAGUUCAAAUGCAAGGUCAACAGUGCAGCCUUGCCUGCCCCCAUCGAGAGAACCGUCUCUAAAACCAAAGGCAGACCACGGGCUCCACAGGUAUACACCCUGCCACCUCCCAAAGAACAGCUGACCAAGAGUGAAGUCACUCUGACCUGCCUGGCAGAGGGUUUCUUUCCUGAUGACAUUUACGUGGAGUGGCAGAGGAACGGGCAGCCAGCGGAGAGCUACAAGAACACUCAGCCCACCCUGGACACAGACGGGAGCUACUUCCUCUACAGCAAGCUCACUGUGAACAAGAACAUAUGGGAGACGGGAGAUAGUUUCACCUGCUCUGUGUUACACGAAGCCCUGCACAACCACCAUACUGAGAAGACCCUCACCCGAUCUCCUGGGCUGGAACUGGAUGAUUCCUGUGCUGAGGCCCAGGACGGGGAGCUGGACGGGCUCUGGACGACCAUCACCAUCUUCAUCAGCCUCUUCCUGCUCAGCGUGUGCUACAGCGCUGCUGUCACACUCUUCAAGGUAAAGUGGAUCUUCUCCUCAGUGGUGGGGCUGAAGCAGACACUGGUUCCUGAAUACAAGAACAUGAUUGGACAAGGGCCCUAG
This is a non-coding RNA of Arvicanthis niloticus (Nile rat), 1195 nucleotides long. The record is from the annotation of a RefSeq genome assembly. NCBI's taxonomy places the organism in Eukaryota, Metazoa, Chordata, Mammalia, Rodentia, Muridae.